This 117-nucleotide small RNA is filed under the name Marmota monax (woodchuck). Lineage: Eukaryota; Metazoa; Chordata; Mammalia; Rodentia; Sciuridae. The record is from RNAcentral.
GCUAGGUGCAGUGGUGUGCACCUGUAGUCCCAGCUGCUUGGGAGGCUGAGUUAGGAAGAUCACUUGAGCCCAGGAGUUUGAGACCAGCCUGGGCAACAUACUGAGAUCCCAUCUCAA